Molecule: unclassified non-coding RNA, 158 nt
Filed under: uncultured Venturiales
Lineage: Eukaryota; Fungi; Ascomycota; Dothideomycetes
Description: sequence contains ITS2
Source: RNAcentral
CGACCCUCAAGCACAGCUUGGUGUUGGGCGCGGUCCCGGGAGGGACCCGCCCGUAACUCGUAGGCGACCGCCGCCCGCGCCCCCAGCGUAGCAAGCUCACGCGUUCGCUCGGGGACGGCGCGUCUGGCCCGCCAGGCAAAACCCAAACCCUUUUCAAG